This 246-nucleotide long non-coding RNA is filed under the name Phoenix dactylifera (date palm). Its description in RNAcentral is "long non-coding RNA (PDAC_LNC020114)". The record is from RNAcentral. Lineage: Eukaryota; Viridiplantae; Streptophyta; Magnoliopsida; Arecales; Arecaceae.
CGGAGCGCCACUGGCCGCGGGCGGCGAGGUCGUGGAGGGAGUCCACCUCGUAGCAGAGGUCGUCCGAUGGGGAAGGAGCGGAGGCGGCGGGGGAGAGGAGAGGGUCCGAGACGGCUGGAGUUGGUUGGGUCGCCGGAGGAGCCUCACCUCCGCCGCUGGCGUCGGGUUCUUGAUCCAUGACCGCGACGGAUUCUGGAGAAAGGGAUCGAGAGAAACCGGAGAGCAACUGAGAGGAAGAAGGAUUUG